This 253-nucleotide ribosomal RNA is filed under the name uncultured bacterium. RNAcentral's name for it is "partial 16S ribosomal RNA". It matches the Rfam family "Bacterial small subunit ribosomal RNA", at positions 524 to 776 of the family's 1533-position model. The record is from RNAcentral.
UACGGGGGGGGCAAGCGUUGUUCGGAAUUACUGGGCGUAAAGGGCUCGUAGGUGGCCAACUAAGUCAGACGUGAAAUCCCCAGGCUCAACUUGGGAACUGCGUCUGAUACUGGAUGGCUUGAAUUCGGGAGAGGGAUGCAGAAUUCCAGGUGUAGCGGUGAAAUGCGUAGAUAUCUGGAGGAAUACCGGUGGCGAAGGCGGCAUCCUGGACCAACACUGACGCUGAGGAGCGAAAGCCAGGGGAGCAAACGGG